This 396-nucleotide ribosomal RNA is filed under the name uncultured bacterium. Its description in RNAcentral is "bacterial SSU rRNA". It matches the Rfam family "Bacterial small subunit ribosomal RNA", at positions 361 to 773 of the family's 1533-position model. The record is from RNAcentral.
AUUUUCCGCAAUGGGCGCAAGCCUGACGGAGCAACGCCGCGUGGGGGAUGACGCCUUUCGGGGUGUAAACCCCUUUUCUGCGGGAGGACAACCGACAGUACCGCAGGAAGAAGGCCCGGCUAACUACGUGCCAGCAGCCGCGGUAAUACGUAGGGGCCGAGCGUUGUCCGGAAUUACUGGGCGUAAAGCGCGCGCAGGCGGCGCUUCAAGCCCGACGUGAAAGCCCCCGGCUCAACCGGGGAGGGUCGUCGGGGACUGGGGCGCUUGAGGGCGGUAGGGGCCGGUGGAAUUCCCGGUGUAGUGGUGAAAUGCGUAGAGAUCGGGAGGAACACCAGUGGCGAAGGCGGCCGGCUGGGCCGACCCUGACGCUGAGGCGCGAAGGCGUGGGGAGCGAAC